RNAcentral lists this ribosomal RNA (194 nucleotides) under uncultured bacterium. Its description in RNAcentral is "partial 16S ribosomal RNA". It matches the Rfam family "Bacterial small subunit ribosomal RNA", at positions 338 to 524 of the family's 1533-position model. The record is from RNAcentral.
CCUACGGGAGGCAGCAGUGGGGAAUAUUGGACAAUGGGCGCAAGCCUGAUCCAGCCAUGCCGCGUGUGUGAAGAAGGCCUGAGGGUUGUAAAGCACUUUCAGUGGGGAGGAGGAUUGACAGGUUAAGAGCUAGUUAAUUGGACGUUACCCACAGAAGAAGCACCGGCUAACUCCGUGCCAGCAGCCGCGGUAAU